Molecule: long non-coding RNA, 1187 nt
Filed under: Homo sapiens (human)
Lineage: Eukaryota; Metazoa; Chordata; Mammalia; Primates; Hominidae
Description: HSALNT0368632
Source: RNAcentral
GUUGCAGUGAGAUGUGAGGCACUUGCAGAGACUCAGUCCACCACCCUGGGCAGCUUUCACCACCCUGGGCAGCUUUUCCGAGACGUAGGGACUGGCUUGCCGUAAUUCAUAGCUUCUGCUGUCCCUUGCUACAUACCUGACUUUCAUUGCGAGUAAGAAUUUGAAAGCAUUGGUGGGGUUGGAGAAAGCAAAAACUUGUGCAGACUCUCACUCUAUUACCCAGGCUGGAGUGCGGUGGCAUGAUCUCGGCUCACUGCAAACUCUGCCUCCCCAGUUCAAAUGAUUCUUCUGCCUUCUGCCUCAGCCUCCCAAAUAGCUGGAACUACAGCAAGGCCAACUUUUCUACCAGAUAACCCUGACCUCAUCCUGUCAGAAUUGAAUGGACCAAGAAUUGAGCUACCCUAAAAGGCCAGUUUUCUGGAAAUAGUUUGAAGAUACCGACUCAUGGUUAAAUGUUUCACAUUUACCCUCAGAAAUGAGUGCUACUGUUCAGAAACGGAGGUGCCCACUUUGCUUGUGGGAUUUAGGAGGAAAUGCCACACACUGUCAUAGAAAAAAUGGCGUCUCACUCUAUUGCCCAGGCUAGAGUACAAUAGUGCAAUCUUGGCUCACUGCAACCUCCCCCUCCCAGGUUCAAGCCAUUCUCCUGCCUCAGCCUCCCGAGUAGCUAGAACUACAAGCACGUGCACUGUACCCAGCUAAUUUUUUGUAUUUUUAGCAGAGACGGGGUUUCUCCAUGUUGGCCAGGCUGGUCUCGAACUCCUGACCUCAGGUAAUCCACCGCCUCAUCCUCCCAAAAUGCAUUAUCUCUUCCCAAAAUGCAUUAUCUAUUUCAUUAAGAAAAAGGAGAAAGCAACCAUGCUAAGCUUCAAAUAAAAGCAUGUGAGCACACCUGAUGACGCUAGACCCACUGGAAUCUCGCAUAACUCAUCCUGAACGUGUUGGGAAUCAAGUCUCUCAGGAUUAGCCCUGGUAAUCUGAAAGUCACCAGUCAUCAAGAAGUGGCAUCUCUACCAUGUGGUGCAAUCAUAGCCCUGAACUCAAAUUUCUGUCUGAUAUAUUUGAUGUGAUCCCUCCUUUUAUACCCUUUUAACUUCUGCUUGGAGAGACCCACUGACCUUGUAGCUGACUGUCAGAACUUUUCCUUGCCAGGCCAGCAAUAAAUUUGGCAUUGUUUUGGACAUUGA